This 253-nucleotide ribosomal RNA is filed under the name uncultured bacterium. RNAcentral's name for it is "partial 16S ribosomal RNA". It matches the Rfam family "Bacterial small subunit ribosomal RNA", at positions 524 to 776 of the family's 1533-position model. The record is from RNAcentral.
CACGUAGGGGGCAAGCGUUGUCCGGAAUUAUUGGGCGUAAAGAGCUUGUAGGCGGUUUGUCGCGUCUGCUGUGAAAAUCCGGGGCUCAACCCCGGACUUGCAGUGGGUACGGGCAGACUGGAGUGUGGUAGGGGAGACUGGAAUUCCUGGUGUAGCGGUGGAAUGCGCAGAUAUCAGGAGGAACACCGAUGGCGAAGGCAGGUCUCUGGGCCACUACUGACGCUGAGAAGCGAAGGCAUGGGGAGCGAACAGG